ACCUACGCUGGCGGCGUGCCUAACACAUGCAAGUCGAACGAGAAAGUGGUAGCAAUACCAUGAGUAAAGUGGCGCACGGGUGAGUAACACGUGACUAACCUACCCUGGAGUGGGGGAUAACUGAGGGAAACCUUAGCUAAUACCGCAUAAUACUCACGGGUCAAAGGAGCAAUUCGCUUUGGGAGGGGGUCGCGGCCGAUUAGUUAGUUGGCGGGGUAACGGCCCACCAAGACGAUGAUCGGUAUCCGGCCUGAGAGGGCGCACGGACACACUGGAACUGAAACACGGUCCAGACUCCUACGGGAGGCAGCAGUGGGGAAUUUUGCGCAAUGGGGGAAACCCUGACGCAGCAACGCCGCGUGGAGGAUGAAGUCCUUCGGGACGUAAACUCCUUUCGAUCGGGACGAUAAUGACGGUACCGGAAGAAGAAGCCCCGGCUAACUUCGUGCCAGCAGCCGCGGUAAUACGAGGGGGGCGAGCGUUGUUCGGAAUUAUUGGGCGUAAAGGGUGCGUAGGCGGCUUGGUAAGUCUUAUGUGAAAUCUAUGGGCUCAACUCAUAGACUGCAUGAGAAACUGCCGGGCUCGAGUGUGGGAAAAGUGAGUGGAAUUCCCGGUGUAGCGGUGAAAUGCGUAAAUAACGGGAGGAACACCUGUGGCGAAAGCCGCUUCACUGGACCACAACUGAACGCUUGAUGCACGUUAAACCUA
RNAcentral lists this ribosomal RNA (708 nucleotides) under uncultured bacterium. Its description in RNAcentral is "bacterial SSU rRNA". It matches the Rfam family "Bacterial small subunit ribosomal RNA", at positions 29 to 764 of the family's 1533-position model. The record is from RNAcentral.